Anopheles culicifacies is the source of this 47-nucleotide non-coding RNA. The record is from Rfam. NCBI's taxonomy places the organism in Eukaryota, Metazoa, Arthropoda, Insecta, Diptera, Culicidae.
AAAACGGCCCUUUUCAGGGCCACUGAAUAUGUUCAGUAAAGAUAUUG